This 301-nucleotide ribosomal RNA is filed under the name uncultured bacterium. RNAcentral's name for it is "partial 16S ribosomal RNA". It matches the Rfam family "Bacterial small subunit ribosomal RNA", at positions 509 to 807 of the family's 1533-position model. The record is from RNAcentral.
CAGUCGCCGCGGGAAUACGGAGGGUGCAAGCGUUAUCCGGAUUCACUGGGUUUAAAGGGUGCGUAGGCGGGUAAGUAAGUCCGUGGUGAAAUCUCUGAGCUUAACUCAGAAACUGCCGUGGAUACUAUUUGCCUUGAAUAUUGUGGAGGUGAGCGGAAUAUGUCAUGUAGCGGUGAAAUGCUUAGAUAUGACAUAGAACACCAAUUGCGAAGGCAGCUCACUACACAAUUAUUGACGCUGAGGCACGAAAGCGUGGGGAUCAAACAGGAUUAGAUACCCCUGUAGUCCCUGUCUCUUAUAC